Molecule: long non-coding RNA, 778 nt
Organism: Homalodisca vitripennis (glassy-winged sharpshooter)
Lineage: Eukaryota; Metazoa; Arthropoda; Insecta; Hemiptera; Cicadellidae
Exons: 3
Source: RefSeq, a predicted model, not a curated record
UUGCUAUUGAGUGUUGUUUGAUAUUUAAAAAAUCGGAAUAGAAAGUAAUUUCUUUAUUGCAAAAAUUUCAUUUUUCGGGAGAAACAUUUCCUAUCAGGAUUGUUGACUUGAAAUGUCUUACGUUACAAAUGAUGUAAAAGCAUUUCAUAUAUUGUUUUCUAUUUCAUAUUGUGGCCGUUCCGGCCAGGAACGUCUGUGUUAAAUACAGUGAAGUAAGUAAUCUUACAUUAUUGUAAAUAAAUUUAUUUCAAUAUUUGGAAUGUACAGCAUUAUAUCAUGAUUCUUAUGUCUUUAUUCUAGCAAAUUUCAAUCGUCUUUUACUUUUUUGUACUACACAGAUGAAAAGUAUUCAAUCAGUAUACAUGACAUAAAUAAUUAAAAUGAAUUGCUAUUGAGUGUUGUUUGAUAUAAAAAAAUCGGAAAAGAAAGUAAUUUCUUUGUUGCAAAAAUUUCAUUUUUCGGGAGAAACAUUUCCUAUCAGGAUUGUUGACUUGAAAUGUCCUAUGUUACAAAUGGUGUAAAAGCAUUUCAUAUAUUGUUUUUUAUUUCAGUUUGUUGCCGUUCCGGCCAAAGAAAUUGGUAUUUCCACCGUGAAUUUGGUGCCGUUGGGGACACCAACAAUUUUGUAUUGUCAACAACGUCAUUGUCACCACUGGCCUUUCCAGUGAGUGUUUCCUCCCAUUUCGUUACGUGUUCCACUUCCCAACGUAAGUUGAAAUAAAAGUAUUUCUUUGUAAUAAAUGAAUUCAAGUGUGUUACCUAUAUUUACGAAAUGAUU